AUGCAAGAUGAAGCUGAAAGUGCCAUGCAGGAUGAUGCUUCUCUACAGUGGAUGAUGAAGGCAUGCUGGUUACAAACCCAGGAGAGGAACAAAGAACAGAUAUUGACAGAAUCAUAUCUAGAGAUGCGGGCCUACUACACUUUAUACGAGCAAGUGUGCUAAUAUACAAUACUUGGGUUAUCAUCACAGCCCUUUCUUCUGAAAACUAGCCUACAACUUCAUUGAUGAAUGCA
Long non-coding RNA from Strongylocentrotus purpuratus (purple sea urchin), 233 nucleotides. RefSeq lists it as uncharacterized. The record is from RefSeq and is a predicted model, not a curated record. Lineage: Eukaryota; Metazoa; Echinodermata; Echinoidea; Camarodonta; Strongylocentrotidae. The transcript has 3 exons.